Molecule: microRNA, 21 nt
Filed under: Marchantia polymorpha subsp. ruderalis
Lineage: Eukaryota; Viridiplantae; Streptophyta; Marchantiopsida; Marchantiales; Marchantiaceae
Source: RNAcentral
UUGCUUAUACAUUCUCCUUCC